Molecule: ribosomal RNA, 301 nt
Filed under: uncultured bacterium
Lineage: Bacteria
Description: partial 16S ribosomal RNA
Rfam family: Bacterial small subunit ribosomal RNA
Source: RNAcentral
CAGCCGCCACGGUAAUACGUAGGGUGCAAGCGUUAAUCGGAAUUACUGGGCGUAAAGCGCACGUAGGCGGACUUUUAAGUCAGGGGUGAAAUCCCGGGGCUCAACCCCGGAACUGCCUUUGAUACUGGAAGUCUUGAGUAUGGUAGAGGUGAGUGGAAUUCCGAGUGUAGAGGUGAAAUUCGUAGAUAUUCGGAGGAACACCAGUGGCGAAGGCGGCUCACUGGACCAUUACUGACGCUGAGGUGCGAAAGCGUGGGGAGCAAACAGGAUUAGAGACCCGUGUAGUCCCUGUCUCUUAUAC